CCUACGGGUGGCAGCAGUGGGGGAUAUUGCACAAUGGGGGGAACCCUGAUGCAGCGACGCCGCGUGGGUGAAGGAGCGUUUCGGCGCGUAAAGCCCUAUCGGCAGGGAAGAAGAUGACGGUACCUGACCAAGAAGCCCCGGCUAACUACGUGCCAGCAGCCGCGGUAAUACGGAGGAUGCGAGCGUUAUCCGGAUUUAUUGGGUUUAAAGGGUGCGUAGGCGGAAUAUCAAGUCAGCGGUAAAAAUUCGGGGCUCAACCCCGUCGUGCCGUUGAAACUGAUGUUCUUGAGUGGGCGAGAAGUAUGCGGAAUGCGUGGUGUAGCGGUGAAAUGCAUAGAUAUCACGCAGAACUCCGAUUGCGAAGGCAGCAUACCGGCGCCCAACUGACGCUGAAGCACGAAAGCGUGGGUAUCGAACAGGAUUAGAUACCCUAGUAGUC
RNAcentral lists this ribosomal RNA (439 nucleotides) under uncultured bacterium. RNAcentral's name for it is "partial 16S ribosomal RNA". It matches the Rfam family "Bacterial small subunit ribosomal RNA", at positions 338 to 795 of the family's 1533-position model. The record is from RNAcentral.